This is a long non-coding RNA of Bufo bufo (common toad), 339 nucleotides long. RefSeq lists it as uncharacterized. The record is from RefSeq and is a predicted model, not a curated record. Lineage: Eukaryota; Metazoa; Chordata; Amphibia; Anura; Bufonidae. The transcript has 3 exons.
GACGUUAUCACUGGGAGGGUUGUGUAGGUUUCUAGGGUUCAGUUAGUAUCUCCACCUCAUGGUCCAGUUUAGGGGUUCAGCUGCUGAUUGAUUUCAUGUCUUUAUUUUCCUUCAUUCUUUUAUGGACAGUGACUUUCCAUGGAUCACCGCGGACAACACACGGUCCGGACAGCGGAGGUGCGAAUAACAUUAUAUGGCCUGGCGUCGGCAUGCCAAAAAGCAAGAAAUGGAUCUAAAGGAACUAAAGAUGUUUGAGGAAGCUUUUUUAAAGAUGGUUGCAGUGAAGAAGCCAGGCUAGUGCUGCCGCUUGCGGGACACCUUGCCAUUGUGGCAGGACAU